ACCCUUGUGGAGGAGGACGCCGAAGGUGGGGCUAAUGACUGGGGUGAAGUCGUAACAAGGUAGCCGUACCGGAAGGUGCGGCUGGAUCACCUCCUAACAGGGAGACAACAAAAUGUAAAUAUUAAUUUUGUCACCUUAGGUCGAUCGGUAUCUCAGAUUCUUAAUUUUUUGAGAAUUUCAGUUUCUAAGUUUUUUCUAGGUCACACCCAUCACUUUUUCCUGGGCCAUUAGCUCAGGUGGUUAGAGCGCACCCCUGAUAAGGGUGAGGUCCCUGGUUCAAGUCCAGGAUGGCCCAUAUCUCUAUGUUGGGGGUAUAGCUCAGUUGGUAGAGCGCCUGCUUUGCAAGCAGGAUGUCAGCGGUUCGAGUCCGCUUACCUCCACUGAAUACCACCUCUUCCAUAUUUUUAAAGAGGGAAAUUGUUAUGUGUCGUGUCCUAAUUUGCUCUGAGCGAAUCCAGCUUCCUAUUUUUUAUUAAUAAAUAAGAUGCUGGACUCAUUGAAUUAACAUUCACUGUUUCCAGAGAACCUUGACAACUGCAUAGAUUAUUUUUGAAGACAAUAAGCAUCUUUAAUGAUGCAGAUUUAUUAUUUGUGCAAAUGCAUUAAAUAACAAUUCUAUUAAGCUGAUACUUCAAUUAUUGAAGUUAUUGGUCAAGCUACAAAGGGCUCACGGAGGAUACCUAGGC
This 686-nucleotide unclassified non-coding RNA is filed under the name uncultured Prochlorococcus sp. RNAcentral describes it as "partial may contain 16S ribosomal RNA, 16S-23S ribosomal RNA intergenic spacer, and 23S ribosomal RNA". The stretch from base 1 to 97 matches the Rfam family "Bacterial small subunit ribosomal RNA", at positions 1437 to 1533 of the family's 1533-position model. The record is from RNAcentral. Lineage: Bacteria; Bacillati; Cyanobacteriota; Cyanophyceae; Synechococcales; Prochlorococcaceae.